Molecule: ribosomal RNA, 478 nt
Filed under: uncultured bacterium
Lineage: Bacteria
Description: bacterial SSU rRNA
Rfam family: Bacterial small subunit ribosomal RNA
Source: RNAcentral
AACGAACGCUGGCGGCAGGCCUAACACAUGCAAGUCGAGCGCCCCCUUUAGAGCACAAAGACGGAGACGCGGUGGUUGGAGAGAUCCGAUCGCUGGUUUUGGUGUUUUGUCUUCUGAUGGGGGAGCGGCGGACGGGUGAGUAACGCGUGGGAAUUUUCCUCAAGGUACGGAACAACUCAGGGAAACUUGGGCUAAUACCGUAUGAUGUCUAGCGACCAAAGAUUUAUCGCCUUGGGAUAAGCCCCGCGUCAGAUUAGGUAGUUGGUGGGGUAACGGCCUACCAAGCCUGCGAUCUGUAGCUGGUCUGAGAGGACGAUCAGCCACACUGGGACUGAGACAACGGCCCAGACUCCUACGGGAGGCAGCAGUGGGGAAUCUUGCGCAAUGGGCGAAAGACCUGACGCAGCCAUGCCGCGUGAAUGAUGAAGGUCUUAGGAUUGUAAAGUUCUUUCGUCCCGUGACGAUGAUGGAACGGUAA